AGUCUGGUGGUGUAGUUGGAAACACGUCCUCUUCGUAUUUAAGAUCUUCUCCAAAAAUAUGAGGGAAUCCCUUGUUCGAUUCAAGGCUAGACCC
Molecule: non-coding RNA, 94 nt
Organism: Mycena rebaudengoi
Lineage: Eukaryota; Fungi; Basidiomycota; Agaricomycetes; Agaricales; Mycenaceae
Source: the annotation of a GenBank genome assembly